Molecule: ribosomal RNA, 515 nt
Filed under: uncultured bacterium
Lineage: Bacteria
Description: partial 16S ribosomal RNA
Rfam family: Bacterial small subunit ribosomal RNA
Source: RNAcentral
GAUGAACGCUGGCGGCGUGCCUAAUACAUGCAAGUCGAGCGAAUGGAUUAAGAGCUUGCUCUUAUGAAGUUAGCGGCGGACGGGUGAGUAACACGUGGGUAACCUGCCCAUAAGACUGGGAUAACUCCGGGAAACCGGGGCUAAUACCGGAUAACAUUUUGAACCGCAUGGUUCGAAAUUGAGAGGCGGCUUCGGCUGUCACUUAUGGAUGGACUCGGGUCGAAUUAGCUAGUUGGUGAGGUAACGGCUCACCAAGGCAACGAUGCGUAGCCGACCUGAGAGGGUGAUCGGCCACACUGGGACUGAGACACGGCCCAGACUCCUACGGGAGGCAGCAGGAGGGAAUCUUCCGCAAUGGACGAAAGUCUGACGGAGCAACGCCGCGUGAGUGACGAAGGCUUUCGGGUCGUAAAACUCUGUUGUUAGGGAAGAACAAGUGCUAGUUGAAUAAGCUGGCACCUUGACGGUACCUAACCAGAAAGCCACGGCUAACUACGUGCCAGCCGCCGCAGUAA